UCGAGAAUCAUUCACAAUGGGGGAAACCCUGAUGGUGCGACGCCGCGUGGGGGAAUGAAGGUCUUCGGAUUGUAAACCCCUGUCAUGUGGGAGCAAAUUAAAAAGAUAGUACCACAAGAGGAAGAGACGGCUAACUCUGUGCCAGCAGCCGCGGUAAUACAGAGGUCUCAAGCGUUGUUCGGAAUCACUGGGCGUAAAGCGUGCGUAGGCGGUUUCGUAAGUCGUGUGUGAAAGGCGGGGGCUCAACCCCCGGACUGCACAUGAUACUGCGAGACUAGAGUAAUGGAGGGGGAACCGGAAUUCUCGGUGUAGCAGUGAAAUGCGUAGAUAUCGAGAGGAACACUCGUGGCGAAGGCGGGUUCCUGGACAUUAACUGACGCUGAGGCACGAAGGCCGGGGGAGCGAAAGGG
Molecule: ribosomal RNA, 410 nt
Filed under: Acidobacteriota bacterium
Lineage: Bacteria; Pseudomonadati; Acidobacteriota
Description: Acidobacteria bacterium partial 16S ribosomal RNA
Rfam family: Bacterial small subunit ribosomal RNA
Source: RNAcentral